Molecule: transfer RNA, 90 nt
Filed under: Duodenibacillus sp.
Lineage: Bacteria; Pseudomonadati; Pseudomonadota; Betaproteobacteria; Burkholderiales; Sutterellaceae
Description: tRNA-Ser
Rfam family: tRNA
About the family: Transfer RNA (tRNA) molecules are approximately 80 nucleotides in length.
Source: RNAcentral
GGAGGUGUGGCAGAGCGGUUGAAUGCACCGGUCUUGAAAACCGGCGACGGCUUACCCCGUCCGUGAGUUCGAAUCUCACCGCCUCCGCCA